GGGGAAUCUUGUUCAAUGGGCGAAAGCCUGAAACAGCAAUGCCGCGUGGAUGAUGAAGGCCUUCGGGUUGUAAAGUCCUUUCGACAGGGAAGAACAAAAUGACGGUACCUGGAGAAGAAGCCACGGCUAAUUACGUGCCAGCAGCCGCGGUAAGACGUAAGUGGCAAGCGUUAUCCGGAAUUACUGGGCGUAAAGCGCGCGUAGGCGGUUACACAAGUCAGGGGUGAAAAGUCAGGGCUUAACCUUGGCCUUGCCUUUGAAACUGUGUGACUAGAGUACUGGAGAGGAGGGCGGAACUACCAGUGUAGCGGUGGAAUGCGUAGAUAUUGGUAGGAAUGCCGAUGACGAAGGUAGCUCUCUGGACAGAUACUGACGCUGAGGUGCGAAAGCUAGGGGAGCAAAC
Molecule: ribosomal RNA, 403 nt
Filed under: uncultured bacterium
Lineage: Bacteria
Description: bacterial SSU rRNA
Rfam family: Bacterial small subunit ribosomal RNA
Source: RNAcentral